GACGAACGCUGGCGGCGUGCUUAACACAUGCAAGUCGAACGGUGAAGCGCCUUCCUUUUUGGUGGGUGUGGAUGAGUGGCGAACGGGUGAGUAACACGUGAGUAACCUGCCCCCUUCUUCUGGAUAACCGCAUGAAAGUGUGGCCAAUACGGGAUAUUCUGGGUCUGUCGCAUGAUGGGUCUGGGAAAGAUAUUGUUUCGGUGGGGGAUGGGCUCGCGGCCUAUCAGCUUGUUGGUGGGGUGAUGGCCUACCAAGGCGGUGACGGGUAGCCGGCCUGAGAGGGUGGGCGGCCAGAGGGGGACGGAGCCACGGUGAAGGCUCCGGAGGGAGGCAGCAGGGGGGAUUAUUGCAAAGUGGGGGAAAGCCUGGAGCGGCGCGGGCGGGGGAGGAAUGAGGCCCUUGGGGUUGGGAACCUCUUUCGAUGGGAAAGAGGGCUCGCCUCGUUUGGGGGGGGGUUGACGGAAGCGGAUAAAGAGGCGCCGGCUAACUACGUG
RNAcentral lists this ribosomal RNA (494 nucleotides) under uncultured bacterium. Its description in RNAcentral is "partial 16S ribosomal RNA". It matches the Rfam family "Bacterial small subunit ribosomal RNA", at positions 28 to 507 of the family's 1533-position model. The record is from RNAcentral.